Long non-coding RNA from Bombus terrestris (buff-tailed bumblebee), 2168 nucleotides. RefSeq lists it as uncharacterized. The transcript is spliced from 3 exons. Lineage: Eukaryota; Metazoa; Arthropoda; Insecta; Hymenoptera; Apidae. The record is from RefSeq and is a predicted model, not a curated record.
UAUUCCACAUUUACUUUCAUUUCAGAUUUUACGAUCUUUUUCUCCUUAUACGAUGAUUUUUUACUAAGAAAAAAAGACUAUUUUAACUAGAAAUUAACUUUAUGAUAUAAAUCAAAGUAGGGUUUUAAAUGGACAUGAUACGAGUAUGUUCUCCCAUCCGUUUCUUGCUCGUUCGACCGGCUACAGUAUAUUAUGUAUGUACUACAGUACACGUUCAUAGGAUACCUGAUCUGCGUAUUUCGAUACUUUAAGGUCGGCCGCAAAUAGAAAUUUCACUAUUUGCAUUCAAUACGAAAUUACUUUAAAAUAACUAUGGAAAAAGUGUGACUGUAUAAUUAACGAUUAGACGAGAGUAAUGAUUAUCAUUAUUCGAUACGAACGAAACAAAUGUGUAAUCUUGCAUGUAUCGCGAUUCUAUUUAAUAAUCACAUUUUUUCUACUACACUAAACGAAUAUCACGACACAAUACUUGGAUGUAUAAAAGAAAUAUAGCUUUCAUGUAUUGGAAUUUCGUGACGAUCGAGUUCGUUCGGUUUUUCCUUGAGAGAGAGUCGGAAAACCAGAGCUUUAUCUUUAUUAGUAAUUUGGCAUUGCCAUCUUUUAUAACCAAUCAUGCGAGGAGAUUCCAAUUUGACAUAAUAAAUUUGAUAUAUCUUUUCAGUAAUAGGGCAGUUUGGAAGUGAAUUCGCCAGUGUUUGUGACAUUUUAUGUUAAGUACAUCUUAUACUUUUGAAGUCUGUUAAUUUAAGAAGAAUAAGAUUAGUAAUGUUUUUUUAUAUGUAUGAAAAGUAAAAAGGACAAUUAAAAAGCGUUCGAUAUGUUUUACACGAUUUCCUGCUUUCCUUUCGUUCCGAAUUGUCUUGCGCUACAUUCUUAAUGCCAGGAGUUAUGUCGAAGAGACUGUGGUUCAUGAUUCGCUGCAUUCCCCGACAUAACGGGUCAUACGGAAGAAAACUCGUUUCAAUAUUUUCAAAAAUAUCUCUUAAAUUGUUAUCUACUGAUUUAAAUACGAUUAACGAAAAAAAAUCUAGAAAGACAAAUCUAAUUUGUAAAUCUAAUAUCGUAAUGAAUGUUACAUCACUUAUGCAAUAAUAAUUUGGAAUUAAUUAUACGUAAUGUAAGAAUAUAUAAUUUGGCACGAAAGCAAUGAUGUUAUAUAAACACAGUAUCGUAAUUUCCAUCCUAUAAACGCAAUAAAUUCUUCUGUAGCGAUGUAAUUAAUACAUAAUUGAAAUUUUCAUGGUUAGUACAUAUUCUAACCGAGCGUUACGGUAAUUUGCGCAUCACUUGCAUUUAGAGAUUGUACUUGUGUAUAUAGAUACAUUGGAUAUUAUUCAUUGUGCUUAGUUAAUAAAUGAAAGGAAAAAAUUCAAGAAAGAAAGGAAAUGAUGACGUUGUAUAUAUGUCAGUGGAACAUCACGUGGAUGCGUGAAAUCGCAAGUCAAUGACCUGAUCAAUAACCUGUUGACUCGAACAGUAUAUGUAUGUGUAUGCAUAAACGUACUCGAAAAAAGUGAAAUAAUAAAUAUAGAAAGCUAUGAAUCACUUUUACUAUUAGAAGAUUGAUACAUUAAGGCAGUUUGAGAAGAACAUCGUUCACUCAGGAAAUGGAAAUAACAUUAUCAUUGCCUAAAAGAUCUUCGUCAAAUAUUUUAAACUUGGAAAUGUUUAAAAUUUUAUUUUAUAUUAUUACGCUAUAUUAUCUUUAAAGAUUUUCUAUUACAUUCAGUUUAAUUCGCUGAAUUAUUAUAUUGUAGGAAUGCAACGGAUUUUUAUUGUAUAAAUAUCGAAUAAAAAGUGACUUACCAGGGACUACUUCGCCAUUGAAUGUCAUUUCCACAAGGUGUACAACAGCUUCAUGGGGUACAAAUGAUGCCAGGAAUCGUUGACUACCUAAUGCUCUGACAAAGCUAGUUACGUGACCACCAUUCACGAGGAUCUCUAGAUUUCCAGAUCCAGCAUUAGAUCCGUCAACUAUAAAUUUGGAAGAUACAGGACAAUACAGAUAAAUUUGCAUUAAUACCCUUUAUUUUGUAUAAUAUAUGUUUUUAAAUACAUACUUUCAAAUUCUACUGGCUGAUUAACAAUGCCAUUCGGAAUGUUCCCAAUCUGAAUACCACGUGCAUUGUAUGCUUGCGAUCUGAGUUAAUAAAGGAUUUAAUUUUUUA